GCAAACAUUUUUUCUACAAUUUAUUCUCCAUCAGAUGCUUUAAAUUUGCAAGCUAACUUGGAUAAAUUUGUUACAUGGACUCACCAAAAUAGUUUAUCUCUAAAUAUAAACAAAUGUAAUGUUAUUACUUUUUCACGAAUCAAUAAUCCUAUUAGCUUUGAUUAUAAAAUUGAUAAUUGUUCCGUUACAAGAGCAACUUCUAUUGGAGAUUUAGGGAUUAUUAUUGAUUACGAUUUGUCUUUUACUACUCACAUUAAUACUAUUACUAAAAAAUCCUUUAAGAUGCUUGGCUUUAUCCACCGAAACACAGUUAAUUUUAAAAAUAUAAAUGCCUUGAAAACAUUAUUUUUUGCGCUUGUUAGAUCUCAUCUUNGUGUUACAAGUUAAAUAUUCGAUUUAUUUCAAAGAACUCGUACAAUAUGCGAAUAAGCGAGUUGAGCUUUAUAUCUUGUAAAGUAAGAAGAGAGGUUGCUGAUAUUAUGUUUAUAUGUGAUUUGUUAAAUGGUCACAUUUUUUCCCCGGAUUUGCUCUCUAUGAUUGAAUUUAAUACAACAAAUCACCGUUUAAGAAAAUCAAACUUAUUUCAUGUUCCAUUUUAUAAUAAUAACUACAGCUCCUCUUCUUACUUUCCUCGAGCAUUAAAACUAGC
This is a non-coding RNA of Cinara cedri, 649 nucleotides long. NCBI's taxonomy places the organism in Eukaryota, Metazoa, Arthropoda, Insecta, Hemiptera, Aphididae. The record is from the annotation of a GenBank genome assembly.